AUUAUGAUAAAUAUAAAAUCACUGUGAAGAGCUUCAAAUUUAACCAUUUUUCAUUACUUCCAUUUCCUGACUGUUGAAUCUGCCUCCAAAAUACUAUCUUUUGUAUUAGAUUAAAUUUGAAACAUCCACCGUACGUUUUACACCAUACCAAAUUUACUUUUAAAGUUAAAAAUGUAAACUUUAGUUCAAUUUAAAUUAGAUUCUACAGAAAGCAAUAUACAGCACCAUAAGGAAAACAAAACUAGAUCCGCGAACACACCCACCACCGUUUCAUACAUAGAUAACAAUAAAAAAAAUCGAAACCCUUUCGAAUAAACUAGAUCCGCAAACACACCCACCACCGUUUCAUACAUAGAUAACAAUAAAGAAAAUCGAAAUCCUUAAAUUUGAAAUCCAAAUAUAGAUAACAAUAAAGAAAACAUAAACAAAUUUGAGAAUAGAAUCAGUACCUGUUUGUGUUUUCAGUUGUAGGGAGAGGAGCGAGCUGAGAAAAGCUUCAAUUUGUUUCACUGAGCUUCAAUUUGGGGCCUAGGGUUCCAGAGAGAACCACUGUGAGAGAGAUGACGAGUUCGAGAUCGAGAGAACGGGUGAGAGAGGACGAGUGAGAGAUAGUGAUAGAUCGAGUGAGAGAUUUCAAAUCGAGAGAGGAAUCGAGGGUUUAUUCAGGUUUGCUUUUGUUCGUGAGGGUUUGUGUUUGUUCGUGAGGAAUCGAGAGAGUGUUUUGAGUGUACGUGUGUGAUGUUUUUCAUUUAAUUAACUUAUUUGGUUCCAAAAUUUUUU
Molecule: long non-coding RNA, 780 nt
Filed under: Trifolium pratense (red clover)
Lineage: Eukaryota; Viridiplantae; Streptophyta; Magnoliopsida; Fabales; Fabaceae
Description: long non-coding RNA (TPRA_LNC014127)
Source: RNAcentral